This 275-nucleotide ribosomal RNA is filed under the name uncultured soil bacterium. RNAcentral's name for it is "partial 16S ribosomal RNA". The record is from RNAcentral.
AUCACUCACGCGGCAUUGCUGGAUCAGGCUUGCGCCCAUUGUCCAAUAUUCCCUACUGCUGCCUCCCGUAGGAGUCUGGGCCGUGUCUCAGUCCCAGUGUGGCUGAUCAUCCUCUCAGACCAGCUAAGGAUCGUCGCCUUGGUGAGCCUUUACCUCACCAACUAGCUAAUCCUACGCGGGCUCAUCCCUGGGCGAUAAAUCUUUGGACUUUCGUCAUCAUCCGGUAUUAGCAGUCGUUUCCAACUGUUAUUCCGAACCCAAGGGCAGAUUCCCCC